UACGGAGGGUGCAAGCGUUUAUCCGGAUUCACUGGGUUUAAAGGGUGCGUAGGUGGGCAGGUAAGUCCGUGGUGAAAUCUCCAAGCUUAACUUGGAAACUGCCGUGGAUACUAUCUGUCUUGAAUACCGUGGAGGUGAGCGGAAUAUGUCAUGUAGCGGUGAAAUGCUUAGAUAUGACAUAGAACACCAAUUGCGAAGGCAGCUCACUACACGCUUAUUGACACUGAGGCACGAAAGCGUGGGGAUCAAACAGG
RNAcentral lists this ribosomal RNA (254 nucleotides) under uncultured bacterium. Its description in RNAcentral is "partial 16S ribosomal RNA". It matches the Rfam family "Bacterial small subunit ribosomal RNA", at positions 524 to 776 of the family's 1533-position model. The record is from RNAcentral.